RNAcentral lists this ribosomal RNA (768 nucleotides) under uncultured bacterium. RNAcentral's name for it is "bacterial SSU rRNA". It matches the Rfam family "Bacterial small subunit ribosomal RNA", at positions 9 to 795 of the family's 1533-position model. The record is from RNAcentral.
GAGUUUGAUCCUGGCUCAGGACGAACGCUGGCGGCGCGCUUAAUGCAUGCAAGUCGAACGGUGAAGCCCCUUCGGGGGCGGAAUAGUGGCGAACGGCUGAGUAACGCGUAAGUAACCUACCCCUGAGUGGGGAAUAACUCCGGGAAACCGGAGCUAAUACCGCAUAAUCCGUUGUGUCGCAUGGCAUAACGGCAAAGGUUUCGGCCGCUUGGGGAUGGGCUUGCGUUCUAUCAGGUAGUUGGUGAGGUAAGAGCUCACCAAGCCAAUGACGGAUAGCUGGUCUGAGAGGACGACCAGCCAGAGGGGGACUGCGACACGGCCCCCACUCCUACGGGAGGCAGCAGCAGGGAAUCUUGCGCAAUGGGCGAAAGCCUGACGCAGCGACGCCGCGUGCGGGAAGAAGGCCUUCGGGUUGUAAACCGCUUUUCUGAGGGAAGAGAAAGGACGGUACCUCAGGAAUAAGCCUCGGCUAACUACGUGCCAGCAGCCGCGGUGAUACGUAGGAGGCAAGCGUUGUCCGGAUUUACUGGGCGUAAAGGGCGUGUAGGCGGUACAGAAAGUCUUUGCUUAAAUAUCCCGGCUCAACUGGGAAAGUGGCAGAGAUACUUCUGAACUAGAGGGCAGUAGAGGAGAGCGGAAUUCCCGGUGUAGUGGUGGAAUGCGUAGAUAUCGGGAGGAACACCAGUGGCGAAAGCGGCUUUUUGGACUGUACCUGACGCUGAGGCGCGAAAGCGUGGGUAGCAAACCGGAUUAGAUACCCUGGUAGUC